AUUGAACGCUGGCGGCAGGCCUAACACAUGCAAGUCGAACGAGUAGCGGACGGGUGAGUAAUGUCGGGGAAACUGGCUGACGGAGGGGGAUAAAUACUGGAAAAGGUAGCUAAUACCGCAUAACAUCAGAUGUGCCCCGAUGGGAUUAGCUUGUAGGUGAGGUAACGGCUCACCAAGGCGACGAUCCCUAGCGGGCCUGAGAGGAGAACCAGCCACACUGGAACUGUGACACGGUCCCGAUUCCUACGGGCGGCAGCAGUGGGGAAGAUUGCACAAUGGGCGCAAGCCUGAUGCAGCCAUGCCGCGUGUGUGAAGAAGGUCUUCGGGUCGUAAUGUACUUUCAGCGGAGAGGCGUUACCCGCAGAAGAAGCACCGGCUAACUCCGUGCCAGCAGCCGCGGUAAUAC
RNAcentral lists this ribosomal RNA (406 nucleotides) under uncultured bacterium. RNAcentral's name for it is "partial 16S ribosomal RNA". It matches the Rfam family "Bacterial small subunit ribosomal RNA", at positions 30 to 526 of the family's 1533-position model. The record is from RNAcentral.